Molecule: ribosomal RNA, 253 nt
Filed under: uncultured bacterium
Lineage: Bacteria
Description: partial 16S ribosomal RNA
Rfam family: Bacterial small subunit ribosomal RNA
Source: RNAcentral
GACAGAGGUGCCGAGCGUUAGGCGGAAUCACUGGGCUUAAAGCGUGUGUAGGCGGGUCGUUAAGUGUCUUGUGAAAUCCCACCGCUCACCGGUGGAACGGCUGGGCAUACUGGCGACCUUGAGAGGCCUAGGGGCAGACGGAACAAGCGGUGGAGCGGUGAAAUGCGUAGAUAUCGCUUGGAACGCCGACGGCGAAAGCAGUCUGCUGGGGGCCUUCUGACGCUGAGACGCGAAAGCGUGGGGAGCAAACAGG